RNAcentral lists this ribosomal RNA (503 nucleotides) under uncultured bacterium. RNAcentral's name for it is "partial 16S ribosomal RNA". It matches the Rfam family "Bacterial small subunit ribosomal RNA", at positions 28 to 523 of the family's 1533-position model. The record is from RNAcentral.
GAUGAACGCUAGCGGCAGGCCUAACACAUGCAAGUCGAGGGGUAGCAGGAGUAAGCUUGCUUAAUGGCUGACGACCGGCGCACGGGUGCGUAAGGCGUAUGCAACCUACCUUAUACUGGGGUAUAGCCCGGAGAAGCUCGGAUUAAUCACCACUAGUACUAAUUAAUCGACUGGGUUAUUAGUUAAAGCAUUGCGGUAGAAGAUGGGCAUGAGUCCUAUUAGCUAGAUGGUGAGGUAACGGCUCACCAUGGCUACGAUAUGUAUGGGGCCUGGGAGGGUGGUCCCCCACACUGGUACUGAGACACGGACCAGACUCCUACGGGAGGCAGCAGUGAGUAAUAUUGGUCAAUGGGCGCAAGCCUGAACCAGCCAUGCCGCGUGCAGGAAGAAUGCCCUAUGGGUUGUAAACUGCUUUUAUUUGGGAAUAAACCUCUUUACGUGUAGAGAGCUGAAGGUACCAAAUGAAUAAGCACCGGCUAACUCCGUGCCAGCCGCCGCCGUAA